GUGCUGGUGGUCGAAUGGCCCUGCGAAUCCUGCACCUGGUAGGUGAAGGUUUCGCUGACUGUGUUCGGCCCAUCGUUGGCAUG
RNAcentral lists this transfer RNA (83 nucleotides) under Pseudomonas sp. KU43P. RNAcentral describes it as "tRNA-Thr". The record is from RNAcentral. Lineage: Bacteria; Pseudomonadati; Pseudomonadota; Gammaproteobacteria; Pseudomonadales; Pseudomonadaceae.